CUGGUCUAGAGCCUUUAUCUGGAAAAGGGAGAAGUAUAGGAGUAGGAUGGGACUGGGGUGCCAAGCCACUAGGCUCCCACUCUGCCCUAAGGUCAAGGUGGACAGGCUAGCUGGGUGCGGAGAGGCAGUCCACUCCUGCAGCCCUUGCUACCACUCCUCAGGCUGGCUGCUGGCUCCUUGCCUGCUGAGCAAAGCAGAUUCCUG
RNAcentral lists this long non-coding RNA (204 nucleotides) under Homo sapiens (human). RNAcentral's name for it is "HSALNT0232724". Lineage: Eukaryota; Metazoa; Chordata; Mammalia; Primates; Hominidae. The record is from RNAcentral.